Molecule: transfer RNA, 85 nt
Filed under: Chthoniobacterales bacterium
Lineage: Bacteria; Pseudomonadati; Verrucomicrobiota; Spartobacteria; Chthoniobacterales
Also listed under: 1 other name
Description: tRNA-Leu
Rfam family: tRNA
About the family: Transfer RNA (tRNA) molecules are approximately 80 nucleotides in length. Their secondary structure includes four short double-helical elements and three loops (D, anti-codon, and T loops).
Source: RNAcentral
GCCGAUGUGGCGAAAUGGCAGACGCAACGGACUUAAAAUCCGUUUCCAUUAAACUGGAGUGUGGGUUCGAGUCCCGCCAUCGGCA